Cavia porcellus (domestic guinea pig) is the source of this 21391-nucleotide long non-coding RNA. RefSeq lists it as uncharacterized. Lineage: Eukaryota; Metazoa; Chordata; Mammalia; Rodentia; Caviidae. The transcript is spliced from 3 exons. The record is from RefSeq and is a predicted model, not a curated record.
UUGUUGCGCUCUUGGCUGGCGUGCAGAGUGGGCGGGAAAACGUAAGGGAGAGCCAGAGCCCGCGCGGGACGUUCUACCUCGUCCCUUGACAGUUAAUGACACCUGCAACUCCGUUUAAAUGCUAUGAAAUUGCUCGAGGGAAUGUAAAUGGUUAAAAUCACUCGUAGGAAACAAAUUGGCGCCGGGCGUGGUGACACGCGCUUGAAUCUCAGCUCUCAGGGAAGCAGAAAUAUCGCGGUGAGUUGGAGACCAGUCUGAACUGCAUAGUGAGUUGAAGGCCUGCCUGAACCCUGAUCCUCAUAGCAAAACUCUGUCUCAAUAAGAUAAAUAAACAAAUAAGACAAAAGAAAAUAAAUUGACAAUAUGUAUCACAUAACCUUUGGUCUAACAAUUCCACUUAUAGAAAUUCAAGGACAUAAGAAUAUGUGUAAGUGUAAAUAUUUGUGUAAUGUAGUAGUUACCAUAUUUAUACCAGUCUCAAAUUUCCAAACCAAAAAAUAAAGGCAACAGUCUACAUGUUGGACAAUAACAGGCUGGCUAACUAAAUUGCAACAAAUUUGUAUGCUGAAAUUCACCCCUUGAAUGACUAAUGACAAGAGAAAAGUGUUCACCAGCAGGAUACAAAAUUGCAAUUACAAGAAAUCCCAAAUUUUGUUUGAUGGUUACUACUGGAGAUUUCUAUAGCGUGGUUAGGCGUGUGCGUUUAGAUUUCAAAAAAAAAUUCUGUAAUUCUAUAAUAUGCAGGUAAUGCCUUUAUAUUUUUAAUUAUAUUUUUAUAUUUUAUUUAUAUUUAAUUAUAUUUUAAUUAAUUUAAUUUAUAUUUUUAAUUCAGAAAAAUUGCUCAAGAGAGAUGACCUCUGGACAGGGAAAUGAUUUCUACAGCUUUUGGUGUAGAAAUUGAGCCCCUUUGGACUUUUUAUGAGGGUGUGAUUAGGAAACCAUUGCUAUUUCUACAUCCUAGUGAUGAGGUUACUAACCUUGCAGCUGCGGUCUCUUCUACUUUACUUGACAGAAGUUAACAUUCAUUUUCAUCGCUGAAAUGAACUUUACAAGAUGCCUGCUUGAUUUUGUUUGAUGGUAGAAUGAAGCAGGGGUUGCUAUGCCUAUUUUCCAGAAAGUGAGCUGGGGUCUAGAGCUGUGCAGCAACCAGUCCAACAUUAGGCAGUAGUAGAAUUACAGUUAAGACUGGGGAUGACAAACUGGUGCCUCUGAGAGCACAGGGCUUCUCUGAUAGAAGCGUCCAUGUAGCCAAAAUUCAUUUGAAUAAGAUUAGUUUAUUAAGGUUUUCUGUGAGCAGGGCACUAGCCCAGGGAUGUAGCUACAAGCAGCCUUCCCCUUCCACCACCGAUCCCUGUAACAACUCUGACCAGAAAUAGGCCCUUUAGGUGGGAAAGCAGUUAAUAUGAUGCACAAAAUGUGAGACUUACUCAUUCAACUAAAAAUGUUGUAGGCUUUGGUGGUUAGUAAGGAAAUAAGACAACUAAGCUAUAUUCUUACAGAAUUAACAAAAUAUCAGAGAACUGAGUGUUAAAUGGUGAACCAGUCUUCAGCAAUAUAAAAUUAACACAGUAGGAGAUGGGAGGAUAGGAAGCCAUCUCAGCCUUCAAACACUGUAUGGUCAGUAGAGAAAUCAAGAAACCAGGGCCAAGAAAUCUCCCACAAGUUCAUUAAAAUCAAACCCACUGAGGCAGGGGAAUGAUCUAACCUACUUAAAGUCCAAUGAAGAACUUUUCCAAAUGAUAAGGAACAAAUUCCAGGUGGCUAAAGGACAAAUCUGUGUGUAGAAUAGUCAUGAAGUAAUGUAUGGUUACUUUUACUUUUUAGGAUAGUAAAACUGACACCUAGAAUGACGACUUAUCAUGAUAUAUAUUACAUGAAAAGCUAUGAUAACCCAGCCCUUGGGAGGCUUAGGCAGAAGGAUGUGACUUCAAGGCCAGUCUGGGCUAUAGAGUGAGUUGGAGGUCAGCUUGAAAUACCUAGAAAGAUCCUGUCUGGGGGGAGGUGGUGGGGAGCAAAAGGCAGAAUAAGGCAAAAGGCACAACUAAAAUUGCACUUCUGUGUGUGAUGUCAAGAGAUCAGGUCUCUCCCCUGUUGAUGCCAUGAAAGCUGUUUAUCCUUUGGGUCAACCUGGGAUUUCUGUGCCCAUAAGUUUCCCCCUUUUCCUAGAGCAUAAUAAUAAAAGUCUUGUUCUUGUGCCAAAAUGCUUCUAUCUCAUUCUUCUGAAAAGCACCAAAGCCCACAAUGUAACUAACGAGACAAUAAGAAGGAUACUGACAUUCCAGGAAGAGUGGUGUCUCAUUCAUUUAGUCACCCAACUAUUAAUUUUUAAAAAUAAAUGCUGUAGGGCUGGAGAUUUAGCUCAGCGGCAUAAGCACCUGCCUUGCAAGCAGGCAGUCGUGAGUUCAAUCCCUGGUACUGAUAAAAAGGAAAAAGACCAAAAAAAAAAAAAAAAAAAAAAAAGAAUCCAAAAAAAUAAAUGCUGUUAUACACCUAUUAUUGGAUAUUAUGUGGCAAGCAAUGGACUAAGUGAUUUACAGGCACAAUCUCAUUUAAUCCUCACAGCUGUCUAUAUAUAGGGCAGCUACUUUAUUAUCAGUGUAUUUUAAAAAUGGAGGCACACGGGGGCUGGGGAUUUAGCUCAGCGGCAUAAGCACCUGCCUUGCAAGCAGGCGGUCGUGAGAGUUCCAUCCCCGGUACUGAUAAAAAAAAAAAAAAAAAAAAAAAAUGGAGGCACAUAAAGGUUGAGUACUGGACCUUACUCAUGGUCGUGUGACUGGCCUGUGACUGAGCAGAGAUCUGAGUUCAGAUCUCGCUGGCUGUGCCCUACAACUGUCAGAUAGCAGAUGUGGCAUUCACAGACCAGCAGGGUUCCAACUAGAGUGUAACAGGAGGAACCAGAAGGCUGGAGAGAUCUGGGGUUUGGGGAAGGGAACAUUUCAGGCUGAGAAUGCUUGGAGCAAACUUCUAGGAGCAGGGGUGCUGUGGAUUUUAUUUAGUGAAUUUUGGGGGAAUUGGGAGUUUCUAAGUAGGGCUUAUGCUCAGAUUUACUUUAUUUAAAGAUCACUUACAUGACAGACAGGAGAGGAGAAAAAGAGGUAUCCACCCAUCUAUGACAAGAGCUAUUUCUGUUAAUGUUUUGUGGUACGAAGAAAUAAUAGCCCCUCGAAGAUGUCCACACUCUAAUCCCCAGAAGCUGGGAUCAAAUCACUUUAUGUGGCAAAAAGGAUUCUGAAAUGGAGAGAUCAUCCUGGAUUAUCUGGGUGAGCCCAAAAUAAUCACAGCUGGAAAGGGGGGCACUCAGGCAGCAGGGACAGGGUCACCAUGCAGUCCAGGGAAAGGCUCACUCACACGAGUCCUAGCACUACCAGGAUGAGUUGGAGAAGUUUAAUUUUGGUGUCUUGUGUAAGUCAGUCCGUUGUAUGCCAGUGAGGACACAUCUCUAACAUCUCUGUCAAGAACAAAGGUGAUAUUAUCUCCUUAGCACAGCAGGCAGCGUGUCAGUCUCAUAAUCUGAAGAUGAUAUUGUGAUCUUCCUUUGCUUUACUUCUAUAGCUAUUUCUUUAUUUGUUUAUGAAGUUGGGUGAGGUCACCCUGAAACCCAACAAUAUUCUUGACUCAAGAUUUCCACUCAAUGGGGCUGGGGGUUUAGCUCAGUAGCAUAAGCACCUGCCUUGCAAGCAGGUGGUCGUGAGUUAGAUCCCCAGUACCAAUAAAAAGAAAAAAUAGUAAAAAAAGAUUUCCACUCAAGAUUCAGAUUUUUUUUUUAAUUUUGAAGAGAAUGAAACCAAAUGAGACAAAACAAAAUGAAGUCAGUCAAAACAAAAGGGUGGACAUAGUACACAACUUAAAAACAAAAUACAAAGUGAUCAACAGUGGUUGCCAUGAUGUCUCUUGUUAGAAUUGCCUAUAUCAUCAGGCAAAAUAAAAUUGAACAGAACAGUACAGAACAAAACCAAUAAAAACAAAACAUUGGAGACAUUAUGGGAUUUCAAAAGAAGAUAAUAGUCAAACCAGAAUGGGUAUCAUAGUGAAUCUUACUGUCUUCAAAGUAAUUGCCUGUACCCUCAGACUUGAUACUAUCAAACAAAACAGAUUCGAAUAAAAUCAGUCAAAAUGAAACAGUGAAGGUAAUACAGGGCUUCAAAUCAAGUUAAUAGGAAAUCAAAAAUGGUUACCAUAGUAUAUCCUGCUCUCUUUGGAAUAGCUGUCCAUGCUAUCAAAUCUAGUACAAGUAGACAAACAGGAACAGAACAUAACCAAACUAAACAGAACAAUGAAAACAAUAUGGGUUUGAAAUCAUGAUACAAGAUUAACAAUGGCCACUGCCUUCCCUUUUUAGACAACUGCUCUCCUUUCACUUUCACAGGGCACACUGUGCAUUUUGUAUCCCACUAACUCCUUUGAUUUUUAGAUUAGGAGGCAACCCCCUAUUCGCCUAAGUAAUUCUGAACCUUUUUACUCCUGAGCAUGAUCUCAAAUUGUAUUCACUUACUUACAAGAGCCUUAAGGUUUUCUUUCUGUAUAGCUGAGUAGUUUUCCAUUGUACAAAAGUGUCAUGGCUUUCUAACCAAUCUGCAGCUCAUGGGCAAGCUACCGCACUUUUUUCUGGUUCCCUGUCACAUAGAGCAUUGUUUUCUCAUUUUUGACUUUCAGUCUAUAAAACUUUUUCAGGUUAAUUAUAUUUCUUAUCUAGAGCAUAUUGAUGGACCCUAUCUCCUGAUCUAUCUGCUUGUAUUUCUUUUUAUUGGUGUAUCGAGGCCAUCCAUAUUAGUGAUUAUUGCUAUCCUUCUCUGCCUCGCUAUUUUUCUGCCAUUGGUUGUCUACUUUCCCCCUUUAUUCCACUGUCUGCUCCAUUCAGUGAGCCCCCUCUGCUGCUGUUCCUGAAACCAUGGUUUUUUUUCUCUCUUUAGAAUGUCCUUCAGUACUUUUUGUAGGGUUGGUUUGGUGGUCAUGAACUCUCCAAGUUCUUCUUUGUCAUGGAAGCAUCUUGUUUCUCCAUUAAUUUUGAAAGAUAGUUUUUCAGGGUACAUCAAUCUAGGUUGGAGGUUAUUUUCUUUCAGGACUUGGAAUACUUCACGCUCUUCUUGAUUUGAUGGUUUGUGUUGAGAAGUCUGCUGUGAUUCUGAUGAGUUUUCCUUUAUAGGAGAUCUAUUUGUUUUUCUCUAACAGCUUUUAAUAUUCUGUUCUUGGGUUGAAUUUCUGGGAUCUUGAUUAUUAUAUAUCUGGGUGUAGAUCUAUUUUGGUUAUAGCUGGCAGGAGUUCUGUAUGUCUCAUAUAUCUGAAUAUCAUUUCCUUUUCCUAUGCUUGGGCAAUUUUCUUUAUUUCUGUAAAUAGCUUUUGUAUUUCAUUUGUGUUUACCCCUGCUUCUUCACUCACGUUUUUUAUUCUUAAGUUAUAGAUCCACUUGUCAUCUUCUAGUCUUUGUAUUGUUAUUUCCUGGUUCCUUUUUUUUUUUUUUAAGAGAUCUUUCCUUUUGCAAUCGCAAGUUGCAAACCAGUCUUCAAGGUUUGAUAGUCUAUCUUUAGUUUCUUUGAAGUGGUUUUACAAGCUUUCAAUAGAGGUUUUCUUUCUUUCUUUCUUUCUUUCUUUCUUUCUUUCUUUCUUUCUUUUUUUGGUUCCAGGGAUCAAACAUGUUACCUUGUGCUUGCCAGGCAGGUGCUUAUGUCAUUGGGCUAAAUCCCCAGCUCAAUGGAGUUUUUAAUUUUCUGGUAAUCUCUUUGAAUCUGUUUCAUGUAUUCUAAAUUUUUAAAAUAUUCUUCAUUGAAGGUUUCCCUCCUUUUUCUAUGCUCCUCUAUUCCAUCUGUGUCUUCUUUAGAGGUGGUUAGCAAUUCUUUUGUUAUGUUUACUUCCUUUACUUGUACUAGUAUUUCUAUUUUAAGUUCUUUUAUAGCUUCAUGAAGUUGUUUAUUUCAAUUGCUGUUACUUCAGAAACUGCAGGUGUGUGACUCCAGAUCUCUUCUGUGUUUACAUUUCCUGGAUAAGUACUGCUUGGGUUGGAGGCCGGAGACUGCCUUUUGCUUCUUCUUCUUGUCAUGUUUCUGGUUUCUUCCAGACAAGUGGGUAGUGAGUUCCCUGGCACUUCCUGUAUUGGUUAUAGUUACUCUGAAGCUGCUGGCUAGGGAUUUCUGCUGUUUGCUGCUUUUCCCAAUCUGCUGGUGACUAGUGGAGUAUAAGCAGGGGUGGGGCAGUCUGGUGCCUCCCUCCUGAGCUGGUUAACCACAGGGAAUCUCCACCACAUUAGUGUGUGCCAGACUUGGUUAGGGAUAGCUUUAGGGGAACCUCAGCAGUGGCCAUUGAACCACACACAGAAGUGGGACUCAGUCCAAGCAGUUUCCCCCAGUCUGCUCUCUGCUAGAAGUGGCUGAAAUAAAUCGGCUGCAGUUCUGCUCCCGGGCUUAUCCUGCCUGACUCCAAAAUGGCCCCUGGCCAAUUGCCCACUCCUGCAGGAGGACUGAGUUCCCCACACUCACCACCAGCCAGUGCAGUUCUGCGGUCCACUGCUCCCCUCUGCCACCACGUCUCCCCGCUGAGGCCUUUGGGCUUGCCCGCCACCAGCUUCACUGUGACUGUGCGUCUCUGGAUCCCAGUGGCGCUUCUUGCACAGUGGGACCAGCUCUGGUGAAAGUGCCACUGGCUACCACCUUCUGUUUAAGUUUUUCUUUUCUUUUUAUUCUCUCUGUGGGCUUCAAUUCUCACAUUAGUUUCUUCCUGGGUCAAGGGGACUCAUUUCUUUCCUUCUGGUCUUUUCUAGAAUGCUAUAUUCCAGCAUCAGGGCUAUUUCUCUCAGAGAGGCUCUUUACUGUGCUGCUUACUGUUCCGCCAUUUUCCCAUUUUUUCCAAGAUUCAGAUUUUUGACUUGGCUUGGAUCUCAUGUUUACCCUUGGGUGAAAAUAAAAAGCACCUUGAUUGACUCAGAGUUCCCUCAGGACUGUUGAGAAUAGAGAAGUAAUUCCUUAACAGUAAAUGGUGACAGCCAAAAUAAGAGACAAGGGUUUUGGGUAGGCAAAAACAACAGAGGUCCUUGCAGGGAGCUACUGCAAAGGCCAUAUGAAAGAUAAUGUGAAGGUAGCAUUAACAGGUUUGGCUCCAGACCAGAUGAGGAUAAGAAAGUAUGAAUCUUAGGGCCAGAGGACUGGUGGGCGGUGGUAGCCCCAUUUAUAGUUAUCUCCUUUAUUCAUUGAGUCAAAAACAUGUUUAAUGAGCAUCUAUUAUGUGCCCAGUAUUGUGCAAGGUUCAGAGGACCCAGUGAGGGGAGGGUGUCCACCCUAUGGAAUUGCAGUCAAGCAGAGGAAAGUGCAGGUAAGAGGUGGUUGGAGGCUAUGCUGGGAAAGUACAGGCUGCAGAGAGAUCACAAUAGUCUGAGUGUCUAACUCAGACUGAGGAGGAAUUUUGUGUAAGUGAGAUACAAUUUUAAAGAUGAGGAGGAUUUACACAGAGGAGAUAAAGAAGCAUAUUCUGAAAAGAGCAGCAUGUGCAAAGGUCUAAAAAAAAAAAAAAGGAGACUGGGAAGUGGAGGAGAAUUGUGGUACUCAGCAGAGGAACACUUCUCUUAUGUUGUGGAAAAUCUCUACUGUACAGGACUGGGAGGAAAACGGCCAUGCUCCCUUCAGGAGAGUGGAAAGGACAGAAACCCACCUGCUUUCUUGGCAGGAGAGUGAGCACAUGCCAAGACUUGGCCAGCAUGAUAUUCCUGCCCAGGACUUUGACCUUCAAAGGAGGGGGUUUUAGGGACAGAGCCGGCUCUAAGGGAGGUGAGAGUCCAGCAGCACUGGGGAGGCCAGUGGCCAGUAGUGGCUGUCCAGCUAGGCAAUGCCUGUACCAUGUCUUUGGGAGUGUUCUCAGCCUAACUGCUUUUGGUUCCUCUUCAGGUUUGGAAUUCAUGAGAUCCUCACAUUAUUCACGAAGUUCCUUCGCCUCUUAGGCUAGCCACCAGGUCUACACUGGCAGCUUGAAAUCAGCCACGGUGGAGAGUUUAUACUAUAGAAAUUGGCAAAUAUUGGUAUGGAACCAAGAGAGGGCCAUUUUGGCUGGAGUUAAAACUCAAGGGGGGGGGGCGCCUGGAUGUAGUGGUGUCCACCUGUAACCCCAGCUACAGGAGCUUGAGGCAAGAAGAUCAUAAGUUCAAGGCCAGCUCAGACAAUGUAGCAAAUUUUUUUUUCUUGGUACUGAGAAUUGAACUCACGACCUACAGUUACCAGGCAAGCACUUGAGCCACUGAGCUAAAUCCCCAGCCCCAAUUUAGCACAUUCUAUCUCAAAGAAAUAAAUUUUUUUUCAAAAGGGCUAAGGAUGUAGUUUGCCUGACAUGACCAAGAUCCUGGGCUCAGUUCAUAGUAUUAAAAACAACAGGAAGGGGGAGGGGGAAGAGAGAGAGAGAGAGAGAGAGAGAGAGAGAGAGAGAGAGAGAGAGAGAGAGAGAGAGAUUGAUUCUUAGGCAGGAAAAACAUGCUUCUUACUUUUGAUCAAAAUUUUUUUUUUAGUACCAGGAAUCAAACUCACAAUUUUGCGCUUGCCAGGCAGGCACCAUGCCUCUGAGCUAUAUAUCCCAGGACCUGCCUCCUUAUUUUUGCAUGUCAAAGGGAGGCUGCAAUGCCUGAUAUUCAACAAUAUUCUUGGGGGGCUGGGGAUUUAGCUCAGCGGCAUAAGCGCCUGCCUUGCAAGCAGGCAGACGUGAGUUCGAUCCCUGGUACCGAUAAAAAGGAAAAAAGACCAAAAACAAACAAACAAACAAACAACAACAACAAAAAAAAACCAAUAUGCUUGGGACCAUGAGGGGAGACUUCCUUUGGACUUCUUGUGAUCAGAGAUAGACCCUUAAUGGUCAAGCCAUGUUUAUUUGAGUAUUUGGAUAGCUGCUGCUGAAAGCCUUAUGUAACACUGAAAUCACCCAAUCUCCUUGGCUCUCAGUUUCUCUCUGCAAAGUGAAGUUGGAUGACACUUAUCUUAUAGGGUCAUCGUGACUGGAAUUAGGUAAGAGAUGUAAAGUAUUUAACAUAGCACCUUGCUUACAUUAAGCAUUCUGUAAAUGCUAUUAUAUACUACUGGCUUCAAAACUGUGGAGUAGAUGAGUUUGUCCUGGGAGAAGGUAGGGAGAAGGGAAGGAAAAUAAAGACUAACAUCUGCGAAGCCAGUAUAUGCGAGGAAAAAGGUGUCCAAGAAAGGACUCAAGGAAUGAUAGGUGAGCUAAGAGGAAAACCUGAAAUCUCAUUUGCUCCUAAUUCCCUUUUUCACCUGGACUAAUUCAUCCUUUAAAGUUUGAUUUACAUAUCUGCUUCUCUUUGAAGCUUUUCUGCGCCAUUGGACCACAGUUUCAGCUUUUAAGUUAGUUGCCAUCUCCCACCUGUUCUCCCUUAGUUUCUGUAUUUACCGUGAUUUAGUGUGGCUUUCUGUUCUUAUGUCUGCCUUCUGCUUUGGACCAUGAAUGAAGUCCUUAAGCAGAGGUCCCCGGACUGGAUCUCCUCACCCCCGGCUUGGGGGUUGGCAACCUGUAAUAACAGCAGCAGCUAUUAUUUGAUGGCAGGCCCUAGGCUAAGUGCUUUACGCAUAUUAAACUAUGCAGUCCUCAUGACAACUUGAUGAGGUAGGUGCUAGUCUUAGUCCCAUUUUAUAGACAAAGAAAUUUAAGUACUGUGAGAUUAAAAAAAUUGCCCAACAUUAUGGUUAAUAAAUGGUAUAACUGGGCCACAAAGUCAGGUGGUCUGGCUCUCAAACCUGCAUUAUAUCCACUCUGUUAUGUGUUUUCCUGUGUAAUGGGUUCUGAUAAGGUUUUUUUGGUCGAAAGAAUGAAGAAGGAAUAUUACCAAAGCCAAAGAGUUUCGGGGACUAUGUUAGUCAGUGUCAGCUAAAUUACUCUGCAGUGGUGACUAAUAACCCUCAACUCUCUAACUUACACAAAGAGUCACAUGGCAACUACAUGUCAGCUAUGGCUCUGUUGUAUUAGGGAUGUAGGCAGUUUCUUUCUCGUCUGAUCUCGGAAGCUAAGCAGGGUCGGGCCUGGUUAGUACUUGGAUGGGAGACCGCCUGGGAAUACGGGGUGCUGUAGGCUUAGAAAAAAAAAAAGAAGCAGUAGUUUCUUGUCCUAUUUAGAAAAAUGCUGUUCUCAGGGGAGAAGACGGGAUGCAUGGUGUGCUACAACCAGCUUACAUUAGAGGAAACUUAUAGUAUACAUCUCUUUCCAAUUCCAUGCUUGAAAAUAUCACCCGGGCUGAAAUCAGUUAUGGUGGGAAAAAUUUAUACUAAUCGAAAUUGACAAAUACUUCUUUCUUUGGGAAAGUUGCUUAUUAAACAUUUACCAGCACAGCACUGGAGGAAAACAAUGAUGAGAUUACCUCCUGAUCCUUAAAGCUUUGGCCCAGAAAUGGCACAGGUCAUGAACAUGUCACAGUUAAUGUGUAUUUGUACUUGCCGAAGCACAGCCAAUUGCUGUCACUGGGGCCCAGAAUAUACUCCUGCCAUUUCAAGGGUCUCUUUCAGGGAGGCAGCAGUUAUUCAGAAAAAGCCCCAUGAUCUGCUGUCAUGGAGGAUCAUGGACAAGGAACAAGAAAAAACCCCUAGGGGCUGGGGAUUUAGCUCAGUGGCAUAAGCGCCUGCCUUGCAAGCAGGCAGUCGUGAGUUCGAUCCCCGGUACCAAUAAAAAGGAAAAAGACAAAAAAAAAAAAAAAAAAAAGAAAAAACCCCUGAAAUUGGCCUUGAGGACUCUGAGACUUUUAACAGGUGGCUGUUUGAGGUUGAAAGAGGUGGGUGGCUACGUGGCUCCCAUUUUAUUUCUGCUUUGUGGCAAAGUUCUCCAUGAUUUAAUUUUAAAAAGUGAGCAUUUAUUUAGCCAAGUGUUGGUUCCAGGACCGUGUCCAGCCCACCACAGACAGUCUCACUGAGUCAUCUUAGUGAGACUCUUGCUUUUGCUAUGUCAGAGCUAUUUUUAUUCCUGUUUUAUGUAUGGUGGGAACUGAAGCUCAGAAACGGCUUGCUUGAAAACCACACAGUUAGUAAAAUCUACCGGACGGCAAUUUUUUUUUGGUGGUAGUUGUGGUAGAGUAUUUAAGUACUUCCUGUUCUUUCUGAUGGGAGAAUUAUAUAUCUCUAUUUUGUUGAACUUAGGUGAGCGCAUAUGACUUUGCUUAACAUGACCUGAGCAAAAGUGAGAAACAUGCCGUGUCAGGAUAGCAGAUGUGAGUGCCUUGGGGGGUGGGGUGGGGUUCUAUGUUCUCUUUUCCUUCCUUCUGCAGUUAUGAAAGCUGUGUUGGAUUGGGACCAUCCCCUCAGCCUGUGUCCCUAAGAAAUUACAUUAGCAGACUCUCCUGGUUAAUUCAGAUGAGACUGAGCAUGAACAAGGAGUUUAUUUGGUAAUGAGAUUCUCACAAUUAUUGCUUACUGCAGCAAAACCUUAUCCAUCCUAACUUAUCUGUCCCUCACCAGGAUCAGAAUAAAGAGACUGAACAGGAGACUCUUGCCAAGUGGACCAAGAUCUACUUAUGCUGCUGAGUGGAGACCUAGACUUUGUGUUCCAGGGACUUUGUGGGCUUUAAGUUCUGGUUUCCUAUUCAGACCAAGUUGUUCCCAUCUGGCAGAGAGCAUGUGCUUCUAUACCCUUUUUGGGCUUCACAAGCCCACCUGAUCUAGUGCCCUUUUCCAAUCUCUGUAACAUGCUUUCUAACCCUUUGCUACCAAAACCAAAUGUGGUUUGAGAUGUGGUUUUCUGAAGAACUGACUAAAUCCAGGCCACCUAAACAAGCAAAGCCUUUCUGCUACUGUUUUGAGGCUACUGUGGUCAGAUGCUGGUUUGCAUAAAAGCUGCCAGCCUUCAAAAGCAAGCUUAUGAUAUUAACAGCAACCAUUAAAGAAAAAUUAUUCAAUGACAUUUGUUAAAGCAAGGAAAAGCAGACUCUACCCAGGAUCACUGAUAUGCUUAUAGCCACCACUUCAAUGGAGCUUUGCAGUGGCGGCAAGAAAUUGGGCUAAACUCCAAAUACAGCUGAGGCAAGUGGGAAUUUAUAAUGAGGAAGCAGUUUUGGGGGUGUCAAAAAUGGAAAAUUGCCAAGAGAAAACUUCAGGGGUUAGAGCUGUUUUGGCUAAACCCACCUAACAGGAUUGUUGCUGAAGUCAGGCUAGUGAUCAGAUAUUGCCUGGGGGUUGGUAAAGAAUGAGGAUUAAUCAAGAAUGAUCAGAUAAACUGAUUUAGCCAUGUUCUUUGGUAAAAUCGGAUUUUAUAAGGAAGUACUCAAAGGGGCCUAGCAGAACAUUCAAAAACCUGACUACAGUUUGGCCAAACAAAGAAUCUUUGUCACAACAAAUACACAUUUAGUUAGAAAAUGUUGCACAUUCAGUAUAGACUGUGAUAAUGUGAGAUGAACUAGAAGCUCUACAGGAAAAUGAUGAUGCAGGCCAGAGGGCACUGGGUUGGAAGAAUUUACUGGGAUCACACUUUUUGAGCGUCUCCUGUGCCUCGCAGUGAGAACUCUGUGGUCUCUAUAUUAUCAUUUUCCUAUCAUGGAGACAAGAUACCUGAGAGUUUACAAAGGGGAGCCUUUAUUUUAGCUCACAGCUUUGGUGGAUUUAUUCUAUAAUAGGCUGGCUCCAAGACAAAAAUGGCAUGAGGGAAGAAAGCUCUUCACUGUAUGUCUGCUAGGAAUCAGGGAGAGAAGGUGGAGGGGCUGGGGACAAGAAUACUUCCUUCCAAGCCAUGCCUCCAGCAACUGUGCCUUCUGAAUGUAAAACUUUGGGGAAACAUUUUAGAUCUAAACCAUAACACUGUGUCAGGAAAUGCAGGUGAUGGUAGAGACAGGCAGGUAAGUAGCACAGAAUGCUAAGGGUAAUGGAUGAUGUCUACUGAUUAGUUUGGUUGUUCUUUCAUUUCAGCAUAUCUAUUAAGCUCUCCUGUUCUGCUAGGGGCUGGACAUUUAUUGGACUGGGCAGUAAGUAUAAGGAAGACUGAGAUUGUCCUUCUGCUCUUGACAUUUAGAGUCUAGUCAACAUGAGAGAAAUAGGCACAAAGUGCAAGGGCGCAUCUAGCAGGGGCAGACAACAUAAUCCAGGGUGCGGGCAAGGACAGGGUUCUAGCAUAACUUUUUAAAGGACAGGACUGAAUCCUGAAAGAUGAGUGAGAAGGAGGUAGCAAAGAAAGAAGAAAGGCAUUCUGGGCAGAAGAAACAAUUUAAGCAAAGACUUGGAGGUACAGUACACCAGUAUGAGUUGCUUGGCUAAAGCAAGGAGUGUAACCUAAAGAGGGGCUAGAGAUAAGGUCAAAGACUAGACUGACAGGGGCUGAAGGAGCUCAGUUUAAGUGCUUGAAGACAAAGGAGCCACUGGAUGGGUAUUGAAUUGAGGCAUUUAUUAUUUAAGAAACAGGCUCAAGUACUAUAAUGGAGCCUCUAAAAUAACAAUGAUUUAGACAAGAUAGAAGUUGACUUUUUGCCUAUACAAAAACUCUGGUAGGCAAAUGAGUGUCAAUAUAGUGCCUCCUAUGUCAAUGGCUCUGGCUCCUUUUGGCUGGCUGCUCUGAUAUUCCCAAUACAGCUUUGUUCUUGAGGUUCAAGACAGUCAGGGUAGCAGCUCCACUUCUGCAUCUUACCCAACCGGCAGGAGUAAAAGGGCUGUAGGAGGACACCCCUCCCCUCUAAAGAUGUGAACUGGAAUUGCAGGCAUCACCAUCAUUCACACUGCCUGGGUCACAAGUGAGUCACAUGGCCACAACUAGCAGCUGGGAUCCUGGGAAAUGUAGUCCUUAUUCUGGACUGACGUGUUGCUCAGCUAAAAGGAAAGGCUGUAUGAUUAAAGGAAGAAUGGCUGCUGAGGGAUGACUAGCUGUCUGUCUUUUGUUAUGCUUUAUUAUGUUCUCUCUGGGGAGGGGUGGAGGAUGGCUAGAUGGUAAGAGAUCAAAGCCAAAGAAACAACCGAAAUGAGAGACACUGGGGCCUGAACGAGGGCAGUAUUCCUCAUUUCCAAAGGUCAACUUCCACUGGAUUCAAAGUCCAAAAAGGUAGGACCUGAGGCUGGAGAGAUGGAUGGGGCCUUUUCUCUCUGCUCUUCCCUCUUCUGGGCAGGAAUCAGAAAGAAAGAACUUGUUUCUCUGCAUGUUCCUUGCUCCCCCUUGGCUGACUCUGUCUUCAUAGCUUGGAAGAUGUCUGUUUUCCUGUCUGUUGGCUGAAAGCUGCUUGGCUUGUUGUCUGUAGAUGUAGCUCCUGUGUAUGUACUGGGGAACUCUUACGGAGGGAUCUCUCUACAGGCCAAGCUGAAAAAGGGCUAGGUGCCCUGCUGGUGGUCUCAGGUUUCACCAUUCAUCUGUUUGCCCCAGCAGGCCAGCUGCCCCAGUCACAUCUACUCUCUGCAGCUCCAACCAUGGCUUGUGGGCUUGGUGAGAUCCACCUUUCUACCUCUCCGUGCCCACUCACCACUUGGUUACUUCCUCGGCCUUCUCUCUUCAAUGCCAUUUGCCCUAUUUCGGUUAUCGAGGUAGGGUGGCUGUUAUGUUCAGUUGCUCAAAGUGCAUGUCAAGCAACGAGAAGUCAGACGCCCUCUACUGGCACCCUAAACCAGAGGAAUAAUUCAUUUAGUUUUGAUCAAAUUACCUACAUCUGUGUAACAGACCACCUCAAACUUUGCAUCAAAAGACAAUCACUAUUUUAUCAUGCCUAAGGAGUCUGAGCCAGGAAUUAGGCUAAGCAUAGGAGAGAUUCUACUUAGAAGGUGGCCUCUAGGACGGCUCCCAGUGGAUUCUGCCUCCUGGUAUUCACCCUUGGGAAGUCCUCGUCCAUAGGAUAUUGGUUUGUGUGACCAAUAGGAAAUGGUAGAAGUAAUAGUCAGUGCUAUGGUUUGAACGUGGUUGAUUAUCUCCCCAAAUGUUCAUGAGCUGGAAGCAUGAUCUUCAGUGUGGAGGAGUUGAGUGGUGAGUCCUAGUGGAAGGGAAUUAGAUCAUGGUGUCACUGCCCUCAGAAAGGUCUUGUGGAAUGAGUUAGUUCUUCCAAGAAAGAAAUUGUUAUAGAGGAUAAGCUUAUGCCUAAAUCCCUCUAGCUUUAUAUUUUGCUAAAAGAUCUCUUUCAUAUUCAUUCCUCCUGUUAUAAUGCAUCUCACAAGGGCCUCACCAGAGGUUAAGCAGGUGGGGUCUUCCUGGUCUUGGACUUUUUGCCUCUGAACUAUGAACUAAAUCUCUUUUGUUUAAAAAGCAUCCAGCUUCAGGUAUUUUGUUGCAACAACAGAAAACAGACCAGCCCAGUAUGUCACUCAUGAGUGAUUCUCUUGGAUGGUUCACUCUGGGGGAAGGUAGCUGUCAAGUCAUGAAGACACUUGUUUGUGGAGAGUCCCAUCUGGAGAGAGACGGAGACAUCCUGUGAAUGGGCGUGUGAAUGAACUUGGAAAUGAACCCUCCAUCCUCAAAGUGACUGCAGCUUGGCUCACAGCUUGAAUGUAUUUUUUGUGAGAUGCCCUGAGUCAGAAUCACCCAAAUGUGCCACUCCUGGAUUCCUCACUAUCAGAAGCUGGGAGAACAAGCCACACGCUGCCGUUAGCGAAACGCCUACCAUUCUCUUCCUGGAUUCACUACAGCGUGUAUAAAGAGACUGGCAGAUGCUAUCAGAGUCUCGGAGAUCACAGGAGUGAGAGAGGCGGGACUGAGAGCCUGAGGGGGAAGUGACUUUUCCAAGGCAGGCUCUGCUGCGCCUCCUACCUCACAAGAAGGGAGUGAGAGGAACAUGUCAGGGCAAAAAGUAGACAUGAGGGGCUGGAGAUUUAGCUCAGCGGCAUAAGCGCCUGCCUUGCAAGCAGGUAGUCGUGAGUUCGAUCCCUGGUAUCAAUAAAAAAGAAAAAGAAAAAAAAAAAAAAAGUAGACAUGAAAUCCAACUAGUCAAUAUUACCCAAGUGACUGUGCUUAUUGUAACCUUUACUGGUUCACCAUAGUCUCGGCCCAUCUCAGACCCAUCUUGUGAUUUUCCACUGAAUCAAUUAUUACCUUAGCAAGUAUUCUUGUAAUCGUACUGAUUCAUCAUAGCUCUGUCCCACCUUGAGCCCCCCUCCCCUCAUGGCUUUGUUCAGUAAACACCCCUGAGAAGCAGGGUUGGUGGGCAACUCAUUAUCUGGGCUCCCUCCUGUCCCUCUUAGGCAGAAGCUUUCUUUCUCUCAGUGAAUUCUUCCUAUUGUUUAAAAAAAAAAAGUAGAUUUGAAGUGGGAGGAAGGAGUGAAACGGAGAAGUCAAAAGCAAUGACAAAAGUGAGAUCUCACUGUGUGUGGUGGCACACACCUGUAAUCCCAGCACUCGGGAGGCUGAGGCAGGAGGAUCACUGUGAGUUUGAGGCCAGCCUGGGCUACAAAGUGAGUUCAAGGCCAGCCUGAAGUACACAAUGUGAUCCUAUCUCAAAACAAAAUGAAACAUCUGAGAUCUCACAAUUUUUUCCUUAGGUCAACCAUAUGAUGGCUAAAAGAUAUAGAAAGCAGAAUCCUAGAUGGAGCAGUUGAGGACCUAGGCUAUACCAGAGGAUGUUACAGAAGAGCACCGAGGGCAGCAGCUGAUGAAAGCACUGAAUCUCCUACUCACCAUGACCUUGGGUUGCAUCAGCAAUUAAUUAACUCAGUAACUACUUUUGGACCAUCUGCUAUAUAUCAAGCAUUGUUUUAGAAAUUUAGGCCAGCUCUGGUGGUGCAGGCCUGUAACCAAAGCACUCUGGAGGAUGAGGGAGGAUGAUUCUGAGCUUGAGCCUCACCUGCCAAACUUAAGAGACUUUGUGAGAUCCUGUAUCAAAAUAAAACAUACAAAAAGGGGAUGGGGGCUUGGAAGGUAGCUCGCUGAGAAGAUCCUGGGUUCAAUCUCUAGUACUAUAAAAAAGAAACGAAAAGAAAACAAAAUUGGGAUAUAGUUAGGGGUUUGCAAGGAGAAGAAGACAAUACAAGACAUACAAUUAUAGUAUUAUUUUAUGGUAGUCACUCGAGUCAAAUACAAAAAAAAGUACAGGAACUCUGUCCACAAACUAAAGACUUAGAGAAUCCAGUCAAGAGCCUGGGUCCCACAGCAGUGUCCUACAUAACUCCAGCUUAAACCUAUAGCCUUGACAAUGUCCCCCAUGAGUCCAACAGGAGGUCUAGGGCCCACAACGAUGACUCCUGAAGUCUGUUUCAUGGAUCUGUGCUGGGAAGGCCAAAGAUCAGUGGUGGAAGCAAGAAAGUCUAUGCCAGCGGAACAAAGGAUCUGUGCCAGUAGGUUAAGUAUUCUGCACUGGAGCCAAGAAGCAAUGCUCAACAUAAGGACCAGGGCUCCCCUGAAAAGUACCACAGCCAUCCUUGGUGACAAGGAGAUCCUGAGCUCCUCCAACAAUGAGAACUGGCUUCAUAUCAGGAAGCCAGCAUGACAAGCUUCUCCUGGACAUUUGAACAGCGCACCAUCUUCCCUUCAGGAGCCAGGAAGCGAUGCUCAAAGUAAGGACCAGAGCCCUCCGAAAGUGAACUGCAGCCAUUCUCAGCAACAAGGUCCCGAGCUCCUUUGAUAAUGUGAACAGCCAAGUUCAUAUCAGGAAAGAAGCUCAGCAAGCUCCUCCAGGAGAAUCCACAGCAACAGGAGAACCAACAGCACUAAAAAGCACGUAGGAGGAUCCACAACACUACUCUUCCUUUCCAGGUCUCCUUUUUAUGCUGGCAACAGUCCUCAGAUGGGCCAUCUACAUUCAGCACCACACGGAUUCAGUUCAGCUGGUGUGUAAGUUGACCAUCAAUUUUCAGUCCACAAUAGGAUAUAUCAGUGAUCAAAAAGAUCACAUACCCUUGUACUUAGGAAGUUUAAAAUAGACUCACUCUGAAAAUUCUAAAGCAUCUUAGAAAGUGACAAGUUCUGGGGAAGAGGAACAGGUGAAAAGAAGAGAAUCAAAAGCAUGCAUAAGGGUGGGUUGAAAUUGUGGUAAGGUGACAUUUGAGCAAAGGCUUAAACUUAGCGAAAGUGUACCACAUACAGCAUGAAAUGUGUAGACGCCUGGAAGAAAAGCAAUCCAGGCAAAAUAUACAGUGACGUGCCUGGGGUAAAGGGGCAUUACAUCAGCAACUUACUCUUAAAUGAUUCAGAAAAAAUAAAUGAUAGAGACAGAUGGCUGGACAGGUAGUAUAGAUAUUGAUAGAGGUGUAUCAUGUAUGUGCACAUACAUAUAUAAACAUAUGUGAAAAGAGAGAAAGAACAAGAAAGCCAAACUGUUAAGAUGUUAAUAUUUGGGGGAAUCUGGGUGAAGGUAUGUGUUAUUUUUGGAAGUUUCUGUAUGAAUUUUAAAAUAAAGUAUUUCUUUAAAAAAGGAUUUAUAUUACUUGAAAACAAAAGACUCAGGAAGCUAAGGCAGGAGGAUCAAUGCAAAUUUGAGAUGAGCCUGAGCUACAAAGUGAGUUUAAGGCCAGUUUGAAUGGCAUAGUGAGAUCCUAACUCAAAGACCAAAAACAAAAACAGACAGACAGAGAAAAAAAAGAAUGAAAACAUUCUUGCAGAGGAAGUAGCUGUGUAAAGAUCCUAGGGUACCAGAGUACUUGGGUGCUAACAAAGAAAAGUGAUUCGUCAAAGUUUCCCUGCCGAGAAUGUGGGCCCACUUAAAGCGACAGCUCUGAUUCUUCCUUUGUGGAACCAUCUCUUUAUCCCUUUUAUUCCGUACAGUAAGCCAUCCUCCAGCUGGAGGAGGGGGGUGCUUAGGAACCAGGCCCGACCCAUCACAGAACAGGACCAAGAAGCUGGGCCAGGGCUGAGCGGUGUAAGGAGACUGGCUGGAGAGGAAGCCAAUCCUGAGGAAGACAUUGAUGAGACUUGAAUCAGAUUCCCCAUGACAUUUUUUAGCUCUUGGGUCUAAUUCAUAUCUAAGUCAUUUGCUUGUCAUUGAGACAGGGUCUUACUAUAUAGCUAAAUGGGCCUUGCCUUGCACUCUUUUUGCCUCAGCUUCCCAAGUGCUGGGGUUACAUGAUGUGCCAUCAUGCCUGAACUUUCAUUGUUCAAUGAGUUAAUUACGCGAAGCAACAGAUGCCCUCUUUGCUGGAGCGAGUUUGAGCAGUUUCUUUUGACCUGCAGCAGAAAUGCAUGCUGACUGGUCCGAAGUGUCAGGGGAGCCUCAGGCCUAAAGGAUGAGGAGGGCUGGUCAAGUGAAGAAGUGGAGAAAAAUAUUCCAGACAGAGACAAUAGCAAAUGCAAAGGCCCCAGGAAUGGAAGGAGGAUAGUGAUCUCAAUGAGCUGGAGUCUAAAAUGGUGGCAGGGAGAGUGAGGAGCAGGCAGAGAGAGACGAGGGAGGCUGAAGUGCAGUUCUGGAUGGAAGGCCUCAAGGCUCUGAGACUGUCCCAAGAGCAACAGGUCUCACUAUGCAGUUCAGUUCACUUUGUAGCCCAGACUGGCUUCAAACUCUCAGAAAUCCACCUGUUUCCUCAUCCCAAGUGCAUUCUGGAAUUACAGGUGUGCACCGCUACGCCCAGCUCUAUAAAUAGGUAAAACUGAUUAAAUUUGCCUUUUGAUAUUUUUAAGAACAUUCUGUUGCAAUGCAGAGAUUAGAUGGCAGGGGGCAGUGUAGAGCAGGGGAACUACUUAGACCUCCAGCCUAGAGAGGAAGAUGACCUGGGCAGGAACAAGGCAUAAACAUGUAGGAAGUGGAUAGAUUUUGUGCAGCUAGUCUCCAAAUGUGAUUCCCAAUAAAGCAUGCCUCCCAAUAUCCGUGCUUUGUGUAGUCCCAACCCAUAUGGAAUCCAGGACAUCCUUGUGCCCUUAUGAACCAAAGGAAUGCAGAGGAAGUGAUACCACACUGGCACUGAGCCUAAGCUUUAAAAUGACUAGGUGUGGUGGUGUAUACCUGUGAUCCUAACUCUGUGGAGGCUGAGGCAGGAGGAUUGCUGUGAGUCAAGGCCAGCCUGGGCUACCUAGUGAGUUUAAGGACAGUCUAAACUACAUAAUGACACCCUUUUGAAAAACAAAACAAAGAUAUCCCGGCAAGCCCUCCACAGGAGCCCUGCUCCACUAGGAGGAAGGCCAGCCCCUUUGUUUUGGGCCCAUGUGGCAGAUUAUGACAGAAACCCAGUUAUCUCAGUCACUGUUGAUCUUCUAUAUGACUGUAAUCUCAGCUACCAUCUGAUUACACCACAUGAGAGACUAUUUCUUAACCAAAUACUUGAGAUUGGGUAAUAUGUAAGCAACAGAACUUAUUUCUCAUAGUCCUGGAGCUGGCAAAUCCUAGAUGAAGGCACCAGCAGGUUUGGUAUCCACUGAAGCCAUUCCCUCACAGAUGGUGCCAUCUAGGGGUUUUCACAUGGUGGAAGGGACAGAAGGGGAAAGGCAGCUCUUCAAAGCCUCUCAUGAGGCCAUUAGUCCCAUCCACGAGAGCAUGGCCCUUCUGGUCUAAUUGCAUCCGUAGUCCCACCUCUUAAUGCCAUGACCUGGGAGCUAAGUUCUAAAACAUGAAUUUUGGAGGGAUCCAGAUACCUAAUUCAUAGCAGAAUGUGAAUGAGAUCAGCAGAAAAACUGCCUAGUAGAGACUGGGCAGUCCAUAGAACCGUGAGCCAUUUUUAGGCCAUGGCAGUCUGGAGUGUCUUGGUACAGAGUACUAGGUAAACGGAAGCAGACUUGAGAAACAUUCGAGGAAUGAAAAGGAUAAGAAAACCGAAGAAGUGUCAGAGAGGAUGUCAAGGUUGCUUGCUGAGUGGGGCAUGAGCUGGAAAAUAUAAGCUGAUGAGUGAGAUUUUGGACAUGUUGAGCCUAGGAGCAUCCAUGUAAUAUUCACAAUCCUGUGACUAGACUGUACUCAGCAAGUGUCAAGCAAGAACAGAUAAUAGGGAACAAAUGCCCAUCUAAGCCAGUACAAAUGAAUGAUGGUAAUAUUGGGUGUUAAGCAUGCACACUCUUGUUUUGGUUGUGGACUGAGACACUCUGUAAAUGAUCAAAAUGAGGGAGUGCAUAUGGUUGUUUUUUACUUCAAAGAGGGCACCUUCUGGCCGUGUCUGAAAUGGCUGCAUCCUGGAAAUUGGUGCUGCACAGGGCCUCUUAGCUUGGGCAGCUGGAGCCCCAGCCAGGAAAGGAGUAUUUCAAAUCAGAUAGAACCAUAUACACACCAUUUCUUGGAAAGCAUCAGCUCUCAGGAUCUCAAUGCUUUGACCUUGUGUUCCAGACAAGUGCAAUUAGUCCUCAUUCAUUGCUUUUGAUGCUGCCUGUUGUUGAAGCAGAAAAAGGUGGAGGCCCAGUUGCUCUUGUUAGACGGUUCUCACCGUUACAAGCAUUUGUGCUUGCAUACAGGUACGGUAUAUGUACAAGAGAGAAAUGGACAGCUAUGACUUUGAAUGGCCUUCUGAGGCUAAAUUUGAGUUUUGGUCACCGAACAUCCCCAGGAAACAGUAAGUGGGUGGUUCGAGACAGUUAGGGACCACCUUGGUGGGACAAAAAUCUGGAAUGACAAAAUAAAUCCCUGAGCUCAGUAAGA